The sequence is a transfer RNA, 73 nucleotides long. It matches the Rfam family "tRNA". From Rfam's summary of the family: Transfer RNA (tRNA) molecules are approximately 80 nucleotides in length. Their secondary structure includes four short double-helical elements and three loops (D, anti-codon, and T loops). The record is from Rfam.
GUCGGUAUAGCUCAGUUGGUAGAGCAACUGAUUUGUAAUCAGUGGGUCGAAGGUUCAAGUCCUUCUGCCGGCA